This is a non-coding RNA of Aegilops tauschii subsp. strangulata, 1785 nucleotides long. Lineage: Eukaryota; Viridiplantae; Streptophyta; Magnoliopsida; Poales; Poaceae. The record is from RefSeq and is a predicted model, not a curated record.
UCAUAAUUGCAAAAGAACCCUUAUCCUCUAUGUCCUGCUCCAUCGAUCCCCACCUCAUCCAACCAGGAACUAGAGGCAUCCGAUCCUUCCCGAAGAGGGGAGAACACGAUGAAACCGAACUAGCCAAUUGCCGCUGUCGCUCACACGCCGCCAGCGCCGGCCGCUCCCAAUUCCUCUUCCGCAGCAUCCCCACCACUCACUGCCACCUCCACCUCCUCCUUCCCCUCCCGCCUAUUAUCUCCUCUCCCCCUACCCUGUCCCCUUCGAUGCCGAUGUCGACAUGUACGCCGCCGGCGCCGUCUGUCCCCGAGCAGCCCCGGCGCCCACCAGCUUCACCUCCUUCCCAUCGACGCGCUCCACGUCUGUCCAAUUCGAGUAUGAGCUGCUCCCCAGGACCUCUAUGUCGUUUGCAACUGGAGCACUACCCACGAGCUCCACAGUCCAGACCCGCAUCAUCCUCCUUCCGUCUUGGAGAUGGCAAAUCUGGUGUGAUGAUUGAUGUGAAGGUACUGUGCUCUGAUGGUCCCUCUCCUUCCCAGUCCCAAGUCAAAAAUUUCCGUUACUCAAAAGUUCAAAUCCACACGCCUAUCUCGAACUGUCUAGAAACCACUCAUGUCAUGUAGCCGCGCUGCUCAAACUACAUCCCCAAGAAGCCACAUAAUCUUUAGCUCGAACGGAGUGUGAGGAGGCGUGAGUCACUGUUAUUAUCCAUCUAAUCUACUUUUUUCAAGGACCAUGGUUUGGGUGUGGAAGAAUAGUAGAAUCUUCUCUACUUCUCAUGAACCCCUUGCUUCAUCUCUAUUAUACAAUCUUUUUCUGGCAGAAAUCUGGUUGAUGUUAAAUAAGAAAGUGACAAGAGGUCCAGUACAAUUUUUAUGUGCGUGUAUGUACAUUCUGUUUCUUUGCUUGGUACAAAAUAUAUUGCAAGGGAUGUUCCUUUUUGCUUCGUUAAAUAUACUACAUACCCUCUACAGACUCGGCUUAUUUUCCUUUGUCUGAAUAUAACACAGACGAAUUGAAUGCAGUAGUUGUUGGAAUUCAGUAAUGUUCAGGCUUGUUCGAGUGUUAGUUUUCUUCAGAAUUUCAGUGUUCCUUUUCUGAAGAAAGUUAUAAAGGAACUUCUUGUGAAUUUUGGUUGUUACUCGUUGAGAUUGUAUCCUCUAUUUUUGUUUGCCUAGGUAUAUCUUCUGCGAUUGUUCUGAUGGAACGCCUCUCAACAUGAUCCUCUGUUCACUUUUUUGUUAUGGCUUUGGUUGUUUGAAUAGCUUUGCUUUCAACUGUACGUGCUACAUAAGGACUCAAAUAUGUCCUAAGAUUUUGGCCAACGAAUUGAGCUUGAUAGCUUUAAAACUUGCUGGCCAAGAGAUAAGAUCUUCUUGUUCAGGAUGAGUCUAUAUAUACAGCCAUGUAUGGCAGGUCCUCUGCAUCAAUCUCAUCUGGUGUUCCUCCACAUACUACAUCUGAACCUUGGCAUAGAGAGAGCUACGUUGGUGAGAACCUGUUGGUUCAUCUCCUCUUGAGUGCACAACAGGAGAUACGAGAUCAUUGUAUCUUGGAGGAGAGCCGCCGUUUAAUUCAUGCACCAUGGCGAGGGCGUGAAUCUUCUUGAAGACGGCGCCUACCGGUGUGCCUUGAUCCAGUCGAGCUGCUGCACCAUGAUCUGCUGCGACCACAUCUUCACCAACAUACGACACCGACGACGUCAACAAUAGUGGUUGUUUAAUGUGUUUUUAGGCGAGCAGAUAAAUGAAGAGAAAACCCCAUAACUAAAAUUGUUGGCAUAUA